This 88-nucleotide transfer RNA is filed under the name Vibrio nigripulchritudo. It matches the Rfam family "tRNA". From Rfam's summary of the family: Transfer RNA (tRNA) molecules are approximately 80 nucleotides in length. Their secondary structure includes four short double-helical elements and three loops (D, anti-codon, and T loops). Lineage: Bacteria; Pseudomonadati; Pseudomonadota; Gammaproteobacteria; Vibrionales; Vibrionaceae. The record is from Rfam by way of RNAcentral.
GGAGAGAUGGCUGAGUGGUUGAAAGCACCGGUCUUGAAAACCGGGGAACGUUAAUAGCGUUCCGUGGGUUCAAAUCCCACUCUCUCCG